RNAcentral lists this ribosomal RNA (1565 nucleotides) under Escherichia coli. Its description in RNAcentral is "partial 23S ribosomal RNA". It matches the Rfam family "Bacterial large subunit ribosomal RNA", at positions 1291 to 2846 of the family's 2925-position model. Lineage: Bacteria; Pseudomonadati; Pseudomonadota; Gammaproteobacteria; Enterobacterales; Enterobacteriaceae. The record is from RNAcentral.
CGAAUGCUGACAUAAGUAACGAUAAAGCGGGUGAAAAGCCCGCUCGCCGGAAGACCAAGGGUUCCUGUCCAACGUUAAUCGGGGCAGGGUGAGUCGACCCCUAAGGCGAGGCCGAAAGGCGUAGUCGAUGGGAAACAGGUUAAUAUUCCUGUACUUGGUGUUACUGCGAAGGGGGGACGGAGAAGGCUAUGUUGGCCGGGCGACGGUUGUCCCGGUUUAAGCGUGUAGGCUGGUUUUCCAGGCAAAUCCGGAAAAUCAAGGCUGAGGCGUGAUGACGAGGCACUACGGUGCUGAAGCAACAAAUGCCCUGCUUCCAGGAAAAGCCUCUAAGCAUCAGGUAACAUCAAAUCGUACCCCAAACCGACACAGGUGGUCAGGUAGAGAAUACCAAGGCGCUUGAGAGAACUCGGGUGAAGGAACUAGGCAAAAUGGUGCCGUAACUUCGGGAGAAGGCACGCUGAUAUGUAGGUGAAGUCCCUUGCGGAUGGAGCUGAAAUCAGUCGAAGAUACCAGCUGGCUGCAACUGUUUAUUAAAAACACAGCACUGUGCAAACACGAAAGUGGACGUAUACGGUGUGACGCCUGCCCGGUGCCGGAAGGUUAAUUGAUGGGGUCAGCGCAAGCGAAGCUCUUGAUCGAAGCCCCGGUAAACGGCGGCCGUAACUAUAACGGUCCUAAGGUAGCGAAAUUCCUUGUCGGGUAAGUUCCGACCUGCACGAAUGGCGUAAUGAUGGCCAGGCUGUCUCCACCCGAGACUCAGUGAAAUUGAACUCGCUGUGAAGAUGCAGUGUACCCGCGGCAAGACGGAAAGACCCCGUGAACCUUUACUAUAGCUUGACACUGAACAUUGAGCCUUGAUGUGUAGGAUAGGUGGGAGGCUUAGAAGUGUGGACGCCAGUCUGCAUGGAGCCGACCUUGAAAUACCACCCUUUAAUGUUUGAUGUUCUAACGUUGACCCGUGAUCCGGGUUGCGGACAGUGUCUGGUGGGUAGUUUGACUGGGGCGGUCUCCUCCUAAAGAGUAACGGAGGAGCACGAAGGUUGGCUAAUCCUGGUCGGACAUCAGGAGGUUAGUGCAAUGGCAUAAGCCAGCUUGACUGCGAGCGUGACGGCGCGAGCAGGUGCGAAAGCAGGUCAUAGUGAUCCGGUGGUUCUGAAUGGAAGGGCCAUCGCUCAACGGAUAAAAGGUACUCCGGGGAUAACAGGCUGAUACCGCCCAAGAGUUCAUAUCGACGGCGGUGUUUGGCACCUCGAUGUCGGCUCAUCACAUCCUGGGGCUGAAGUAGGUCCCAAGGGUAUGGCUGUUCGCCAUUUAAAGUGGUACGCGAGCUGGGUUUAGAACGUCGUGAGACAGUUCGGUCCCUAUCUGCCGUGGGCGCUGGAGAACUGAGGGGGGCUGCUCCUAGUACGAGAGGACCGGAGUGGACGCAUCACUGGUGUUCGGGUUGUCAUGCCAAUGGCACUGCCCGGUAGCUAAAUGCGGAAGAGAUAAGUGCUGAAAGCAUCUAAGCACGAAACUUGCCCCGAGAUGAGUUCUCCCUGACCCUUUAAGGGUCCUGAAGGAAC